Oncorhynchus tshawytscha (Chinook salmon) is the source of this 389-nucleotide long non-coding RNA. The record is from Ensembl. NCBI's taxonomy places the organism in Eukaryota, Metazoa, Chordata, Actinopteri, Salmoniformes, Salmonidae.
UUUCAGACAUAAUGAUUAGUGAUGAGAGGUGUUUCAGACAUAAUGAUUAGUGAUGAGGUGUUUCAGACAUAAUGAUUAGUGAUGAGGUGUUUCAGACGUAAUGAUUAGUGAUGAGAGGUGUUUCAGACAUAAUGAUUAGUGAUGAGAGGUGUUUCAGACGUAAUGAUUAGUGAUGAGGUGUUUCAGACAUAAUGAUUAGUGAUGAGAGGUGAUUCAGACAUAAUGAUUAGUGAUGAGGUGUUUCAGACAUAAUGAUUAGUGAUGAGGUGUUUCAGACAUAAUGAUUAGUGAUGAGAGGUGUUUCAGUAAGAAAAUGUAUGCACUCACAUAAGUCGCACUGGAUAAGAGCGCCUGCUAAAUUAUUUGAUUUGAUAAGAGUGUCUGCUACA